RNAcentral lists this long non-coding RNA (2695 nucleotides) under Portunus trituberculatus (swimming crab). RNAcentral describes it as "uncharacterized LOC123506455". Lineage: Eukaryota; Metazoa; Arthropoda; Malacostraca; Decapoda; Portunidae. The record is from RNAcentral.
CGGAGGGAUGGGGCCGCACAGGGGCAACAGCAUGGUCAAAGCCUUUCACACGGGGCCGGUUUUCUGACCCGACUUGUGCUGGUGCCUCAAAGUGGACGCAGUGGAAAACCUGAAGCAGAAUAACAUCUUGGAUCCACUGCCAGAAACUGGACCACAUAUCCUGGAUUUGAGUGACAAGAACAUGUUACUAAGAAAGAAAAGCCUUGCAGUAAAAAUUUGGGCCAAGAUGAAUAUAACAUUACAAGCCAAACUAAGCCUGCACCUCAAAGGAUCACAGGAUGUGCACUCCCUCAUUAAAAUAAUGGAUGUAAUAUAACUAGCUGAACUUUCACACUCAAGAGUCAAACAUACAGAGUCCAACAACAAAAGACAUACAGGAGGAAAGCCAGUAGGCCUGCCCCAGCUGCACACAGAUGGAGCCAGAGCCUAGCUGGUGACAUGUGUAGCCAGAGUCCCAGUCAUAGUGAUGGAUGUCCCCAUUGAGAAGGUUGUUGCGCGAACGACUCACUCCCUCCAGCACCAGUGCACUUUUGGUCACCAGCGCCACAUUCUCCCGUGGAACUGAAACAUGAUCUACAGUAAACCCCCAAGUUUUCUUCUACAUGCACUUAAUCUCACGUUUAUCACAGAAAAAUUUGAUAAAAUACAACUUAAUUGUGACAUGGGUUGAGGGAAUACCCAAAUUGGUAGGUGGCAUACAAUUGGCUGGAGCCUUGCCAAACCACCACUUAAAGCACUCUCUAUAUUUUUGUUUGACUAAUUGGCUGAUGAAGAUCCGCCUCCUUCAAAGAAAGGAGCGGGACUACACUGCCUCCCUAAAGGCCCACGCUACCCAGUUAGUUCACCACAAGUCUCUGUUUCAACUACAUAGCCACACCUACUUCAGCUUCUCUAUUAACCCACAAACUGAGCAAUAAGGUUCCGGUGAUCACACAUUUAGUGCACAAUUAUCAGCAUCAAGAGACAUAAAGAGAAAAAAGUUCUAAAAAAUACUUUUACUGUCAUAAAAUGAAAUAUUGCAUGGACACACUAAAGUAAAGAAAACCUAGAUUAAUUCAUUACUGGAGGUAGCGGGUAGUGAGCAAAUGUUUUGAUGAGCUAGGUAGAUUCGGUACUCGUGGUGGUGGAGAGGAGAAUGUCUAGAUAAAGCACUAAACUACCAAACAGUGGGAGAUUUACUUACAAUGUCAAUGUUUGGAAAAUUUGUAAAAGCAAAAACAAAGCAAGGUAAAAAGGUUGGUUAAAUAUUAACUAAUGAUACACACUGUCUUGCUGGUUCUUGUUGUGAUAGUGACCAUCUUCAUCUAUAUCUUGCCACUAGCAUGCUAGCCACUGAACUUAAUCUAAGCCUAACCAAACAAGAAGCAUGACAUAGAUAAUGUUUAGUAAGAUAAGGAUGUUGGCAGCAAGAUCAAGAACAACAACAGGGCAGCACUCUUCAUUUUGUUUCAACAAGUUUCUGGAAGUUUAUAUAUACUGAAUGAUAUUCAGCAACCUAGAUUCUAUUUGACAUGCAAGUAUUAACCUAAGGAGAGGCUACAGUUAUCUUCAUAUUAUUCAGCCAAUUUUUCCACAAUGAAGCAAGGUCUCCCAUGUUGUAAAAGUAAUAUGGUUCCAAUGGAGAGAAAAAAAAUGUAAAACUGAACUGCAAAGAAAUUGUGGUUGACUAUAAAAUGCUUGUGUUGUACCACUACAGUAGAAGAAUCUUUUACCUUUAUGUACCACUACAGUAGAAGAAUCUUUUACCUUAUGUUAUGCUACAUGGAAAUAGUAAAGCUACUGUACAUAUAAAAAUGUAUAAUUCAUAAUUAUAAGUAAAUCCCCAACUGUUUAUUACUAUACUGUGUUUAGUGGCUUAUCCAGACAUCAUCCUCCCCACCACAACAACUACCCAUCCAUCAGCUCCCUCAACACAAUGCUCACUGAAAAACUCCCUCACCACUAGCCACACACUACGUCCAGUAAUGAACAAAUAUUUGAUUUUCCUACACGACUUUCCCAUGCAAUCUUUCAUCUUGUAACAGUUAAAAUUAUUUUGGGGAUUUUUUUUUAUGUUGAUAAUUGUGCACCAUGAGUAUGCCUGCCAGAAUCCCUAUUUCUCAGUUUGUGUUAAUAAAGACAGUAAAUAUGCAUUUUAGGGAUCAAUAUGACUCAAAUUUUAGUACUUAGCAGAUGCCUUUAAAACAUAAGCCUGUAAAGGCCUGUCCAGACGAGGGGCAGUUGCCCGCCGUGCAAACACUGUUACCAUAUCAUACUAAGCAGUGGAAUGACAUCAUAAGCACAGAAACAAAGGAAACAGAUCUGGUAACAAACAGUGCUACCAGAUGUUGCUGUGUUCCACAGUCCCUACUCUGUUCACCGGGCAAAGACUGUCAGGUGAACUAAUGUCCACACUAGGGGCAGUUGCUCGCCGGGCACAACCCGUUGAUCGUAUAUUCCUCGCUUGUUUGGCAGGGUUUUGCAACAUGCUCUCCUUAUAUGAGUGCCAACCAUCACACCAGCAGGCAUUACUUCAACCACGGGCAAGGGCACUUCGAUGAUUUGCACGUGGUUUUCUCGCUUCUGACAUCAUGUUCGCUCCCACCAUCAAAACAGUUGAAGCAGUAUGAUAUCUGGUAACAGUGUUUACACAGCGGGCAACUGCCCCUCGUCUGGACGGAGGUUAACAAGCUGUAAUAAAAACUGACCAUAUUAA